GGAGUCUGGUCCGUGUCUCAGUACCAGUGUGGGGGACCUUCCUCUCAGAACCCCUACGCAUCGUAGCCUUGGUGGGCCGUUGCCCCGCCAACUAGCUAAUGCGCCGCAUGCCCAUCCCCUACCGACGGAUCUUUCCCCGCGCAACGAUGCCGACGCGCGGACUACGGGGCAUUAAUCCAACUUUCGCUGGGCUAUUCCCCGACUAUGGACAGAUUGCACACCUGUUACGCACCCGUGCGCCGGUCGCCGCCAGGAAAAGCAAGCUUCUCCCGCGCUGCCCCUCGACUUGCAUGUGUUAGGCCUGUCGCUAGCGUUCAUC
Molecule: ribosomal RNA, 319 nt
Filed under: uncultured Paludibacter sp.
Lineage: Bacteria; Pseudomonadati; Bacteroidota; Bacteroidia; Bacteroidales; Paludibacteraceae
Description: partial 16S ribosomal RNA
Source: RNAcentral